RNAcentral lists this small RNA (51 nucleotides) under Arabidopsis thaliana (thale cress). RNAcentral's name for it is "ATSL048690". The stretch from base 9 to 51 matches the Rfam family "Small nucleolar RNA snoR113", at positions 1 to 43 of the family's 103-position model. The record is from RNAcentral. Lineage: Eukaryota; Viridiplantae; Streptophyta; Magnoliopsida; Brassicales; Brassicaceae.
AAAAACGGUGGCGAUGAUGAAAAAAAGGCCGGACUUACGGCUACUACCACC